RNAcentral lists this ribosomal RNA (422 nucleotides) under uncultured bacterium. RNAcentral's name for it is "bacterial SSU rRNA". It matches the Rfam family "Bacterial small subunit ribosomal RNA", at positions 360 to 773 of the family's 1533-position model. The record is from RNAcentral.
AAUUGUUCGCAAUGGGCGCAAGCCUGACGACGCAACGCCGCGUGGAGGACGAAGAUCUUCGGGUCGUAAACUCCUUUCGAUCGGGAAGAACGCCUCUGGUGUGAAUAUCACCGGAGGGUGACGGUACCGAGAGAAGAAGCCCCGGCUAACUUCGUGCCAGCAGCCGCGGUAAUACGAGGGGGGCAAGUGUUGUUCGGAAUCACUGGGCGUAAAGGGAGCGUAGGCGGAUGUUUAAGUCGGGUGUUUAAAACCGGGGCCCAACCCCGGAGCGGCACCCGAAACUGGGCAUCUUGAAUAGGUCAGAGGCUGGUGGAAUUGGAGGUGUAGCGGUGGAAUGCGUAGAGAUCUCCAAGAACACCUAUUGCGAAGGCAGCCAGCUGGGACCAUAUUGACGCUGAGGCUCGAAAGCAUGGGGAGCAAAC